Molecule: ribosomal RNA, 253 nt
Filed under: uncultured Rhodocyclales bacterium
Lineage: Bacteria; Pseudomonadati; Pseudomonadota; Betaproteobacteria; Rhodocyclales
Description: partial 16S ribosomal RNA
Rfam family: Bacterial small subunit ribosomal RNA
Source: RNAcentral
UACGUAGGGUCCAAGCGUUAAUCGGAAUUACUGGGCGUAAAGCGUGUGCAGGCGGUUUCGAAAGUCCGAUGUGAAAUCCCCGAGCUUAACUUGGGAACUGCGUUGGAAACUACGAGGCUAGAGUGCGGCAGAGGGGGGUGGAAUUCCAGGUGUAGCAGUGAAAUGCGUAGAGAUCUGGAGGAACACCGAUGGCGAAGGCAGCCCCCUGGGUUAGCACUGACGCUGAGGCACGAAAGCGUGGGGAGCAAACAGG